GGGUAAUGAAAUCGCAACAUGCUCUGGGGUAGCAGAUAUAAGGAUGGGGGUUAUAUCUCAUAAGCGUCUAUGAUAGAAUAUUUUUGGAAAGGAUGAAUUCUCAGAGAAGAUGGAGCUGUGAGCUGUGAGCUGCUACCUUCUAUGGCUUCCCAUUCUUCAAAGCCAGACUUCAGUACAAGUCAUUCAUGUUUACAUUCUCACACCUACCUCAAGAAAGAGACCACGAUGGAAACUCCUGUGAUAGAAAAAUAAGAAUGAAAGGAGAGCAGUUGCAGCACACCUGUGUUGGCAAGCUGUCAAACCCUCCAUCUCUGACAUUAAUUGGAUCAUCCACUGAAUGGGGGAACUGAUGGAAAAUGCAAUGCGAGAAGAUGACUGGGGAGAAUAAAUGCUAUCCUGCCUAUCAACAGUGAUGAAAGUGACACCUGAAGAGUUUUCUUUUAUUCCAUGCAAACAGAUGGCUUUAAACGACACAUGCUACACAGUCAGAUUUCUUAUGCUCACCUCUAAGCAUUUAGGCCAGCUUGAACAAUCAAAAAUUAAAAUGUAAACAACA
Long non-coding RNA from Canis lupus familiaris (dog), 556 nucleotides. RefSeq lists it as uncharacterized. The record is from RefSeq and is a predicted model, not a curated record. Lineage: Eukaryota; Metazoa; Chordata; Mammalia; Carnivora; Canidae. The transcript has 3 exons.